Molecule: ribosomal RNA, 834 nt
Filed under: uncultured bacterium
Lineage: Bacteria
Description: bacterial SSU rRNA
Rfam family: Bacterial small subunit ribosomal RNA
Source: RNAcentral
CGGUGUAGCGGUGAAAUGCGUAGAUAUCGGGAAGAACACCAGUGGCGAAAGCGCUCUGCUGGGCCAUCACUGACGCUCAUGGACGAAAGCCAGGGGAGCGAAAGGGAUUAGAUACCCCUGUAGUCCUGGCCGUAAACGAUGAACACUAGGUGUCGGGGGAGUCGACCCCUCCGGUGUCGUAGCCAACGCGUUAAGUGUUCCGCCUGGGGAGUACGCACGCAAGUGUGAAACUCAAAGGAAUUGACGGGGGCCCGCACAAGCGGUGGAGUAUGUGGUUUAAUUCGAUGCAACGCGAAGAACCUUACCAGGGCUUGACAUCCUGCGAAUCUCUGGGAAACCGGAGAGUGCCUUCGGGAACGCAGUGACAGGUGGUGCAUGGCUGUCGUCAGCUCGUGUCGUGAGAUGUUGGGUUAAGUCCCGCAACGAGCGCAACCCACGUCUUUAGUUGCCAGCAUUUAGUUGGGCACUCUAGAGAGACUGCCGGUGAUAAACCGGAGGAAGGUGUGGAUGACGUCAAGUCAUCAUGCCCCUUACAUCCUGGGCUACACACGUACUACAAUGCUACGGACAAAGGGCUGCAAGUUCGCGAGGACAAGCAAAUCCCAUAAACCGUGGCUCAGUUCAGAUCGUAGGCUGCAACUCGCCUACGUGAAGGCGGAAUCGCUAGUAAUCGCAGGUCAGCAUACUGCGGUGAAUACGUUCCCGGGCCUUGUACACACCGCCCGUCACACCAUGGAAGUUGGCCACGCCCGAAGCCGUUACUCCAACCCUUGUGGAGGAGGACGUCGAAGGUGGGGCUGAUGACUGGGGUGAAGUCGUAACAAGGUAACCGUA